GGUAGCAGGCCUUCGGGUGCUGACGAGUGGCGGACGGGUGAGUAAUGCGUAGGAAUCUGUCUUUUAGUGGGGGACAACCCAGGGAAACUUGGGCUAAUACCGCAUGAGCCCUGAGGGGGAAAGCGGGGGAUCUUCGGACCUCGCGCUAAGAGAAGAGCCUACGUCUGAUUAGCUAGUUGGUAGGGUAAAGGCCUACCAAGGCGACGAUCAGUAGCUGGUCUGAGAGGACGACCAGCCACACUGGGACUGAGACACGGCCCAGACUCCUACGGGAGGCAGCAGUGGGGAAUUUUUCGCAAUGGGGGCAACCCUGACGAAGCAAUGCCGCGUGGAUGAAGAAGGCCUUCGGGUUGUAAAGUCCUUUCG
This 366-nucleotide ribosomal RNA is filed under the name uncultured Acidithiobacillus sp. Its description in RNAcentral is "bacterial SSU rRNA". It matches the Rfam family "Bacterial small subunit ribosomal RNA", at positions 68 to 438 of the family's 1533-position model. The record is from RNAcentral. Lineage: Bacteria; Pseudomonadati; Pseudomonadota; Acidithiobacillia; Acidithiobacillales; Acidithiobacillaceae.